UACGUAGGGGGCGAGCGUUGUCCGGAUUCAUUGGGCGUAAAGAGCUCGUAGGCGGCUUGACAAGUCGGAUGUGAAAACUCCAGGCUCAACCUGGAGCCGCCAUUCGAUACUGCUAUGGCUAGAGUCCGGUAGGGGAGUGUGGAAUUCCCGGUGUAGCGGUGAAAUGCGCAGAUAUCAGGAGGAACACCGGUGGCGAAGGCGGGUCUCUGGGCCGAUACUGACGCUGAGGAGCGAAAGCGUGGGGAGCGAACAGG
RNAcentral lists this ribosomal RNA (254 nucleotides) under uncultured bacterium. RNAcentral's name for it is "partial 16S ribosomal RNA". It matches the Rfam family "Bacterial small subunit ribosomal RNA", at positions 524 to 776 of the family's 1533-position model. The record is from RNAcentral.